Molecule: ribosomal RNA, 119 nt
Filed under: Pteropus alecto (black flying fox)
Lineage: Eukaryota; Metazoa; Chordata; Mammalia; Chiroptera; Pteropodidae
Source: RNAcentral
GUCUACGGCCAUGUCAUCCUGAACAAGCCUGAUCCUGUCUGAUCUGGGAAGCUAAGCAGGGCCGGGCCUCGUUAGUAGUUGGAUGGGGGACCACCUAGGAAGACCAGGUGCUGUAGGUG